This is an RNA transcript of Lates calcarifer (barramundi perch), 4865 nucleotides long. It is a transcript of the gene named protein inhibitor of activated STAT, 4a, with no coding region annotated. NCBI's taxonomy places the organism in Eukaryota, Metazoa, Chordata, Actinopteri, Centropomidae. The record is from RefSeq and is a predicted model, not a curated record. The transcript has 12 exons.
AGGCUCUGCGUUUCAUUGGUGAAAGACUAGCCGUCGUCUCUGACUCUCGCGGUACUGCUGCACGAAGAUGGCGGCCGAACUGGUGGAAGCGAUGAACAUGGUCAAAAGUUUCCGGGUCUCAGACCUGCAGACGCUGCUGGCCUCAAUGGGUCGCAGCAAAAGUGGGCUGAAGCAGGACCUGGUGGGGCGCGCACUGAGGCUGGUGCAAACCGAAUACAGCCCGGAGCUUCUGAAGAACGUCAGGCAGCUCUACGAGUCGCGCUUCCCCAAAACAUCUGGCUGGCUUGCAGCACGGCGUCCAGAGGGCGUCCCAGUUGCCUACUCACCCCUCAGCCACUCCCCCACUGCCACCUCUCAGGGCGCAGACUACCUCAAUGGCAUUUCCAAACCGAUCCCAACACCUGCAGCAGAGGUCAAGCUGGUGCCACUGCCCUUCUACCAAACCUUGGAGACACUGUUGUCCCCAACAGAGCUAAUUGCCCAGAACAAUGAGAAACUGCAGGACAGUCAGUGCAUAUUUGAGUUAACACCGAACCAAGCAGAUCAGAUCCGAAAUGCAAGUGAGCUUCGUCCAGGGAUUAGAUCAAUCCAAGUGGUUCUUAGAAUCUGUUACACAGACUCCAUUGGUGUUCAGGAGGACCAGUAUCCUCCCAACAUUGCUGUCAAAGUCAACCAGUCCUACUGUCAUGUGCCGGGCUAUUACCCCUCCAACAAGCCUGGAGUUGAACCCCGUCGUCCUUGUCGACCUGUAAACAUCACUCCCUGGUUGCAUCUCUCCAGUGUCACCAACAGAGUCACUGUCACCUGGGGAAACUUUGGCAAGCGGUAUUCGGUGGCAGUGUAUUUAGUGAGGGUCUUCACUGCAGCAGACCUCUUCAGCCAACUCAAACUCUGCUCUGUUGAGAGUGCAGAACGCUGUCGUGAACGCAUCCAAGACAAACUACGUUUUGACCCAGAGAGUGAAAUUGCAACCACAGGCCUUCGAGUUUCUCUCAUUUGUCCACUGGUGAAGAUGCGGCUCGGUGUCCCAUGUCGAGUUUUAACUUGUGCCCAUCUUCAGUGUUUCGACGCAGUCUUCUUCCUGCAGAUGAAUGAGAAGAAGCCCACAUGGACUUGCCCCGUCUGUGACAAGCCCGCUCCCUUUGAGCUACUUACAAUUGAUGGUCUGUUAUCUGAGAUUCUGAAGGAGACAAGUGAGGACAUUGAGGAGAUUGAGUAUUUAACUGAUGGCUCCUGGCGACCCAUCAGAGAUGACAAGGAGAGGGACAGGGAACGAGAGCGCAGCAACACACCAGAGUACCCUGUUGUUGAUAUAUGCAUUCCUGAGGCAAACGGUCAUUCUCCGGCCCACAGCAGCACCAGCCUGACGGGCAAAUCUGGCAGCAGUUCUGUGGGGAUGGCAGGAGUCACAGGAGGACCUGCUGUGGCACCGGGAGGAGGCGCAGUGGUAGAUCUGACUCUUGACUCCUCCUCUGAGGAGGAAGGGGGUGGGGCAGGAGGCGACAGUGAGGACACAGAGGACAGCGCUGACAGUCCUGCCCCGAAGAGGGGCCGAUACAACUACGACAAGGACCUGGUCACUGCCUACUGACCCCACAGCUCUGUCCCCUCAUAGACUGACACACACACAGAGACUGAGAGACAGGGGGCUACAAACUUGAGGACAGGAACACAGUAAUCCACUAGAUGCAACGACCCUCCCUUAUGCCCAAACAUCAGAGCCUUUUAGCAGCUCUGGUUUAUAUCCAGACAAAACAAACACACACUCAAACAUGCACUGUUAAUGAAUCUUCAAUCUAGAGUGAUUAGGAUUCCUCUUUGUACUGUACACCACUGGAAGCAACUCUUUUUCGGCCAACCGUCACCUUGCAGUGAAUAUCUGUACCGUCCUGCCUCUACUAAAGAAACUGAAUGGAUUGAGCACCCCCAACACCACCACCCCCACCCCCACCACCCCCUUUCCUCCUCUCUCUCCAGACAAUUUCCUCUCUACCACCCCAUCUCUCUUUGUAUUUGACUUGGAAUUACAGGCUCUUUUAGCCAUGGGCGUUCACUGUUUGCGUCUCUGAUUUUUGUCACAUUUGUGAUAAACAGGCAAGUUUGAAGAUGGAGGCUCCUCAGUAGUUUUUGGUAAAAGGUCAAAAACAACUAAUGGAUAAGAGCAUGAAUAAUUUGGGAGAGGACAAGGCAGAGGUAUGUGGAGUGUGAUGCAAAUUGAAACCUCUCCUAUUGUGUUAUUAUUUUUUUGUUCAGAGAAUGAAUUCAAAGCUUGAAAGGGGUUUUUUUCAGGAAUUUAUCCUUUUAAUUAUGAAAGGGCAGAACACAAUACUGGCCUCAAUGUGUGAUGCUUUCCAUUUUUAUUUUGUCCUUAGAUAAGAGAACCUACCUCAGUCAUAAAAACUUAGCAGACUGACCAGAGAGUAGCUAAGAAAGAAGCAGAGGACAGAAGAAUAAAGAAAAGUCUUUCUGAAGCCAAUUUUACACUGGAGAUUUUCUUUUCCUGCAUUUUGUUUUGUAUUUUUUAAUUCCAUUGUUCCAUGCAGCUCUGUUUUCCUCUGCAGCAACAAAACCUUUGAGGGCGAGUUAGUUUGCAGAUGAACCCUAGGUGUCAGUGAUAGGUGGAACUGUGCCACUGUGUAAAACAUUACUGCAGUUAACUUGCUGUAACAGGAUUUAUUAGGGUUGAUAUAUCAACAUCGCAAAUGGACGUAACUCAUCAAAAUUACUGUGCGGCAGCUGUGCCAAAGCAGAUAUAUUUUUAAGAAUUCACUGACAGGCAACGGUUACGAGAUUUUGGUGCCUUCUUUUUUUUUUUUUUUUUUGGUUAAGUUGUGAAGAUUGGAGCAUGUUGUUAUAAGACUAGCUGAGCUGGCCAGCAGAUGAGACCCCAGUCUGAGAGUUGUUUUAUUCCAUAUAUGUUUUGUUCAGAUUUUUUCCAGUUUGAGAAAUGGACAGAGAUGCAGAAAAAAAUCUGAGGUAAAGGACAGUUAUGGAACAGGAUUCAGAAGUGCUGUCCUCCUUUGUCUUUCUCCGCAAGUACCAUAUUUAUGUAAUUGCUUCACAGUCUCUUUAACAGUUAUUUGUAAUAAAUCUACAUAAUAUUUGGCGGCAGUUCUGUACAGACAGGGGCUUGUAGUUACAGAAAACAGGACACACCUCUGCUGCUGUGGUUUGUGUAUUUAGAUAAAAUUGGUCCAGGCUCAUGGCUGUGCUGUUGAUGAACGCUCCUUUUAUUUUCCUGUGAAUGAAUCCGACCUGGGUCAAAGAAGCAUUCAGAGUACUUUUGCUGCGGUGGGUUCAACAUGUCUGACACAACGAAACUUAAUGAAGUGUCAAUAAGUGCAACCCCACCAAGCUUUAAGUCAUUGAUUGGAUUACAAAUUGUCCUGUCUGGAACAAGUGGAGCAGGUUCAACCAACAAUCCUCCCCGGCCUCUUUUCAAUGUAGAUAAGGUCAUAUCUAUUUGCUGGAAUAGAAUUGGACUUUAAUUGCUACAUGCUGUAGGCUUACAACUAAUAUUCCUCUGCACCUGAAUUGGUAUUGUCAGUAUGUGAUGGCUGCUCCUCAGAUAAGGAUACACAGGCUGCAUGUGCAGGUGUUCGGUUUGUCUGCAGGAAGGUCAUCAGCAUUUGCUUGAAGAGAAAAGGUGCUGCUGUGUCACUAGAGCUGUUUGCACUUUCAUCUCAUACUUCAUCCCAAGGUCAUGGCUUAUUUAUUUUAAAGCCUUUGCAUAGUGAGUAUUAAUCAAGGAUCCCUGACCAUUGUGACUAGGUCUCCUCAGCCAUCUCAUGCAUGGGAAUCAAGAAAUGUGAAACUAGAAAAGCGACAGUCCUACUCCACUGUGAGACAAUUGGGAGGGAAGAGGUUGUGACUCAGACGAGUUCUGUGUGGUAUGUUUCCCUCUAUUGUCAUCCCUUUGUUGCGGUUUGAUCAGCACAGAACCUGGUUUUCGUUUGCCUUGCUCAAAUGCACAGACAAAAUGACAUUUACGCAUUGAUCCGGGGCCUCGCUGUUGUGCGUCUUGUGAUAGGGUUGGUGAUUUAAAGAAGCAGGUUGAGUCAUAUCUGGUCUUCCAUUUUUCCCCUUCUUUUGACACAUUGCCAUAGCUUACAAAAUCAAUGUAGUGGUGAAAAAUAUUUGAUAAUCACACAAAAUUGAUUGAUGGCACUUUGCCUGUACUACGUCGGAGUCUGUCCCUGAAAAGGAUAUUCUAUAUAAGGCGCUUUGAAGCAAAACAAUGUAAAGAACUCUAAUACCUGUCUUUAACUAGGCAAUUUGUAUUUGUAAGUAACUGCUAUACAUAUAAAAAUGACAUUGUUCAUUUGUUGCUAGGUAUAGAAGGUCAUUAUUUGAACAGAUCUCCUAAACCUCUCUUUGCCUUAUGGUAAAGGUGAGAGGUGGUACAGGUUGCUCCUGUGGAUCUGAGCCAGAUAUGUGCAGGUUGUUUGGGAGCUGGAGAGAGCUGAGGGUCUGGUCUUUUUGUAGUGGCAUCUCUUAUAAUAAUGCAUAAGGUAGCAUGGGCAGAGGCUUACAAUCCAUGAUGUAAAUGUUUUGUUGUGUUUUUUUAUAUGUUCAUAUUAAAAGACAAUAAAAUUUAAAUAAUAUUUUAUUAAGCCUUGAUUCGCCUCCAGUUGUUCCUAUAGGCAAACAGACAAUAAGAAGCUGUUGAGGGCAGCAGCACCUGAAGCUGAUGCCACUGAGGACUGGGUGGACUGGUUAAGGUGUGGAUUGUUAAGUCCUGUACCAAAUGCUCAGAUCUGGGGACACAUUUGAUGCCUGUUGAGGAUAAAACUGUAAAAUUUAAAAUGAUCGUAUUCUAACAGCUGUUAUUGACGUGUGGAAUUAAUUAAAAUCAGUUCUUAAAA